Molecule: unclassified non-coding RNA, 3283 nt
Filed under: Hevea brasiliensis (rubber tree)
Lineage: Eukaryota; Viridiplantae; Streptophyta; Magnoliopsida; Malpighiales; Euphorbiaceae
Source: RNAcentral
GAAGAAGAAGAAGAAGAAGAGCUUAGCGAUAAUAGUUUGGUCCCAAAAGAGGAUCACAAAGCAUUGAGGUUCAAGAAAAAGUUUAAGUUUAAAAGCCCUUCAAUGAACUCAAGGAGUAGUCCGAAGGGAUUUUCAGGUUCGAAUAGCAUGAAUGGAAGUCAUCCAAAUGGGGAAUCUAGAGACAUUGAUUCGGGGACUAUGAAAAUAGAUAGCGGAGGGAAAGUCACUGGUGUUCAGCUGAAUUUGUCACAAGAUGGCAACAAGUUAGAGACGGAAAACAAAGAUUUGCUGAAGGAAAUACAGUCCGGUGCUGUCCAGGAGAAUAGGAAAGGAAGAUUGUCAAGUGAAGUAACAAAGUCAUGGAAAUCAACAGAUUUUGAGAAACAGAAUUCUCUAAGCUUAACAAAAGAAAACCAGAGAACUAAUACAAAUUUAGAUGGCCCAGCUUCACCAAGAAGAAAAAGCAGCAGAGACCCUGGAAAGAGACCAGUAACCUACAAAAUGGGGGAUAAAAAAUCAGUAGUGCAAACAAAGUUGUGGUGGUUGAAGCUUCCUUAUGCUCUAGCUAUCCUUAUGCGUAGAGGCACAGAACAAGAAGGACCAGCUGGACUUUAUGCAUUAAGAACACCUUCUCAGGCAGAUAACCAAGAGGACUCUUGCACUGUUGCUUUUGAGGACCGCAGUGAUGCCAAUAACUUCUGCUAUCUACUUGAAUCCUACUUUCAAGAUUUAGGGAACUUCAGUGCUGACAUUGUUCCACUGUCAAUAAAAGAACUUCAUGAUGCAGUGAAAUCUCGUUCCAAGAAGGUAAUUGUUGUAAAGAAGGGGCAGCUUAAGCUUUAUGCUGGUCAGCCAUUUGCUGAGGUUGAGAUGGCUUUGCUCUCUUUGCUUGAUCAAGAUCAAGAAGGUACAUAAUGAGGGGUAGCCGGUUCUCUCCAUCUCCAUAAAUCCCCUAACAAGGGCAGAAUCCAAACUUGAGACCUCAAGGAAGUCAGCCUUUACUAUUGGGAUAUCUACUUGGGACAUCAAGGUACAUAGUUUUGGAAUAAAUGAAUGAUUAUACCUGGAUUCUUCUUCAAUCUGUGGACAUGUUCUUAUGGAUUCUCCUCAGAGUCAAGAUCUCUCUUCUUCAACAAUAUUUUAGGACUUUAGGACAUACUGGCCAGAUUAAUGAUCUUGACCAGCCAUAGGUCUCUUGAAUCUAUGGAGAAAUUUUGGACAGUAGGGCAAAUAUGACAAGGAUGUGGUGGUCUUCCCACUGAAUCAGAGCUCUUUUUGUUCUGAAAAACUGUAUAUAGUAGAUGUCUAUUUGUUUUGAAAAAUUGUAUGUAGAUGUCUCUUUUUUUGGUUGUUGGGGACUUGAAAAGAACUGGAAAGAAUAAAGUUAAAACAAAUGAACCCCUUCAGAAUAACUGGUAACAAGCUAGCAGAGGAAGAAUUGGAUCUAUUAUGGUUAUCAAUCAUGUUCACGUGACUUGUCACCAGUCUUGUUAACUAAGUGCCGAGUUCUAUGAAGAAAUAAGGCAAAUGGGAUCAGCACAAGGUGAACUAUUUUAUUACUGGAUUCAUGUAAAACUAGAAUUUACAUGAAAUAGAAUCUGCUAACUGGAAAGCAAAUAGAAUCCGUUUUUCAUUUCUUUAAUGGCCUUAGUUUCUAGUGCCCUGCGAACUCUUAACAUCAGCACAACACUACAUUCUACUAUAAACUAGUAAUUUUAGCCAUAGACUGAGCAUGAAUAGUUGGCAAAUUGGAUUGGCAAAAGUUUUGCCACGACUCCUGCUUCUGCUCUUCAUUUUCUGUAUAUGCUUCAAAUAUAGAAAUCACAGUAUUUCGUGCUGCUUCUCUUGCCUCGGGCAGCCUAUCGUUCAACAAAUUGGCAGCCAUUUGUACCAAUGAAACCAAUCCGAACUCUUUCAUUCCUUCCAGACCCUGAAACCAUAAGUUCACAAUAAUCAUUGUAGGCAGCAGAUAUCAACACACAAGACUGAGUUAUCCAAACAAUUACCAUAUUGGAGACGGAGUUGGAGAUGCAUAUGGCAACUUUGGCUCUGACUCUAAGGUUGGCAUGGCUAACAUAUGCUCGGAGCUUAUGGAGCAGAUGCAGAGGAGUCAUGGACCUCACCAUUGCACUCAAUGCUUUAUCUGCUUCUUCACACACAAACCUUUUAUCUUGAGAAGCUUUGAGCAGCAGCUGCAACAGCUGUGCACCCACAAGGACAAGUAAAGUCAAUAGCAAAAAAUUAACAGAAAUUUGUUACUUAAAUUCAGUUUAUUAUGGAUGAAACACAGAAGGGCAUGGUAAGACAGAUACUCAUAUUUUACAUGAGUUUCACUUAUUUAUACAUGAAAUCUACUGUGGACCAGAUUUAGACAACAAACACAAUAUAAUUUAUAGCGGACCAGAUUUAGACAACACACAAUGGAAUUGAAGUGAAAAUGGGUAAAGACACAAACAGAAGCGGAGAGGUAGAUUCUCACCAAGUUAUCAAAAGCUUCAGUAGUGGAGUCAAGUAAUUUAGAGCCAAAGGCAUUGAAAAUAUCAGAUGAAGCCAUAAUAGAGGUUUUACACAAAGCACUUCUUGGGUUCUUCAUGGCCUUCACCACCACCAACAUUACCUUUUCCCUAUACAAAUAAAAUAACACAUCCAUGUUUAGCCAAUUUUUGUCUCAUCAUAAAAAUUAAAAGCUUAUUCAUGUCCAUAUUCUGCGAGGAAAUCUCUCAUACAAGAUUGGGAGCAAAAGAGAGGAGUGAUGCAACGCAAACCGCCUAGUAUUAUUCAGUGACUCGCAAACCUUUGUCCAAUCCUUCGAAUCUAAGCCUUCAAUAAGACCCUAGGAACUCAAAUAACCAAGGAAAAAUAACCAAUCAAAUGAGUCGUCAUCUGGGUUACUUGAAACAAAUUUCUAUAAGAAAAAUCUACCCUCAAUCCAGAGAGACCCAAUUGAGAUGAGUGAGUUAUAAGACUUACCUGGAUCUUGGAUUCAGGGUCUGGAAUGGCUUUGAGAUUCUCAGAAGAGAUAUAAUCGAUAGCAGCAUCUGCAGAGAGUGGCAAUGGAGCCUUAUUUUCAUCAUUUACACCAAACUCUGCCUGUUUUUGAAUCGGAACUGAGACUUUUGCUUGCUUUUUGGGUCUUUCUGGUGUUAAAGGGAGAGCAUUAUCAAUGGGCCUCAAAGCCAUUUUUUCUCUGUAGAAGGAGAUUGCAGAUAGAAGAGAUCUGAAGAAUUUGAUGUAUUAUGAUUCAAAGAAGGAUUAUUUAUUCGUGGGCCUGCGAGACAAAUGU